AGAACUCCGAUUGCGAAGGCAGCUCACUGGACUGCAACUGACACUGAUGCUCGAAAGUGUGGGUAUCAAACAGGAUUAGAUACCCUGGUAGUCCACACAGUAAACGAUGAAUACUCGCUGUUUGCGAUAUACAGUAAGCGGCCAAGCGAAAGCAUUAAGUAUUCCACCUGGGGAGUACGCCGGCAACGGUGAAACUCAAAGGAAUUGACGGGGGCCCGCACAAGCGGAGGAACAUGUGGUUUAAUUCGAUGAUACGCGAGGAACCUUACCCGGGCUUAAAUUGCAGUGGAAUGAUGUGGAAACAUGUCAGUGAGCAAUCACCGCUGUGAAGGUGCUGCAUGGUUGUCGUCAGCUCGUGCCGUGAGGUGUCGGCUUAAGUGCCAUAACGAGCGCAACCCUUAUCUUCAGUUACUAACAGGUCAUGCUGAGGACUCUGGAGAGACUGCCGUCGUAAGAUGUGAGGAAGGUGGGGAUGACGUCAAAUCAGCACGGCCCUUACGUCCGGGGCUACACACGUGUUACAAUGGGGGGUACAGAAGGCAGCUAGCGGGUGACCGUAUGCUAAUCCCAAAAUCCUCUCUCAGUUCGGAUCGAAGUCUGCAACCCGACUUCGUGAAGCUGGAUUCGCUAGUAAUCGCGCAUCAGCCACGGCGCGGUGAAUACGUUCCCGGGCCUUGUACAGGCCGCCCGUCAAGCCAUGAGAGCCGGGGGUACGUGAAGUA
Molecule: ribosomal RNA, 722 nt
Filed under: Bacteroides fragilis
Lineage: Bacteria; Pseudomonadati; Bacteroidota; Bacteroidia; Bacteroidales; Bacteroidaceae
Description: bacterial SSU rRNA
Rfam family: Bacterial small subunit ribosomal RNA
Source: RNAcentral